CCGUGCUAGAUGGGGAGGUAGCGGUGCCCUGUCACUCGCAAUCCGCUAUAGCGAGAUCGAAUUCCUGUUUGAGGUCAUGCCACGCAGUUCCGGCUUCGUCCCGGCGCGUUGAUCGCAGGGUCCUUCGCGAGGGACGCCCAUGAACCCGGUCAGGUCCGGAAGGAAGCAGCCGUAAGUGGUCACGUUCUUGUGCUGAAGGGUAGCCCUUCGGGAGCGUACGAGCGAGGUACGGCUGGAUGGCAUCGAUCGAGGGCAGGUGCACGG
RNAcentral lists this signal recognition particle RNA (264 nucleotides) under Cohnella ginsengisoli. Its description in RNAcentral is "signal recognition particle sRNA large type". It matches the Rfam family "Bacterial large signal recognition particle RNA". Rfam says of the family: The signal recognition particle (SRP) is a universally conserved ribonucleoprotein involved in the co-translational targeting of proteins to membranes. RNAcentral also lists the same sequence under 1 other name. The record is from RNAcentral. Lineage: Bacteria; Bacillati; Bacillota; Bacilli; Caryophanales; Paenibacillaceae.